UGGGGAAUGUUGGACAAUGGGGGAAACCCUGAUCCAGCCAUCCCGCGUGUGCGAUGAAGGCCUUCGGGUUGUAAAGCACUUUUGGCAGGAAAGAAACGUCAUGGGUUAAUACCCCGUGAAACUGACGGGACCUGCAGAAUAAGCACCGGCUAACUACGUGCCAGCAGCCGCGGUAAUACGUAGGGUGCAAGCGUUAAUCGGAAUUACUGGGCGUAAAGCGUGCGCAGGCGGUUCGGAAAGAAAGAUGUGCAAUCCCAGAGCUCAACUUUGGCACUGCAUUUUUAACUACCUGGCUAGAGUGUGUCAGAGGGACGUGGAAUUCCGCGUGUAGCAGUGAAAUGCGUAGCUAUGCGGAGGCACACCGAUGGCGAAGGCAGCCUCCUGGGAUAACACUGACGCUCAUGCACGAAAGCGUGGGGAGCAAACAGG
This 429-nucleotide ribosomal RNA is filed under the name Acidobacteriota bacterium. Its description in RNAcentral is "Acidobacteria bacterium partial 16S ribosomal RNA". It matches the Rfam family "Bacterial small subunit ribosomal RNA", at positions 355 to 776 of the family's 1533-position model. Lineage: Bacteria; Pseudomonadati; Acidobacteriota. The record is from RNAcentral.